Non-coding RNA from Pseudomonas sp. G5(2012), 70 nucleotides. The record is from Rfam. Lineage: Bacteria; Pseudomonadati; Pseudomonadota; Gammaproteobacteria; Pseudomonadales; Pseudomonadaceae.
GUCACAGGUGGUGCGGCACUUGAAUGAGUGCAGCACCGAAUGCGCAGUACCUAACGAAGACGGUAAUAAG